UAGGGAAUCUUCCGCAAUGGGCGAAAGCCUGACGGAGCAACGCCGCGUGAGUGAUGAAGGUCUUCGGAUCGUAAAACUCUGUUAUUAGGGAAGAACAAAUGUGUAAGUAACUAUGCACGUCUUGACGGUACCUAAUCAGAAAGCCACGGCUAACUACGUGCCAGCAGCCGCGGUAAUACGUAGGUGGCAAGCGUUAUCCGGAAUUAUUGGGCGUAAAGCGCGCGUAGGCGGUUUUUUAAGUCUGAUGUGAAAGCCCACGGCUCAACCGUGGAGGGUCAUUGGAAACUGGAAAACUUGAGUGCAGAAGAGGAAAGUGGAAUUCCCUGUGUAGCGGUGAAAUGCGCAGGGAUAUGGAGGAACACCAGUGGCGAAGGCGACUUUCUGGUCUGUAACUGACGCUGAUGUGCGAAAGCGUGGGGGUCAAACAGG
RNAcentral lists this ribosomal RNA (429 nucleotides) under Actinomycetes bacterium. RNAcentral's name for it is "Actinobacteria bacterium partial 16S ribosomal RNA". It matches the Rfam family "Bacterial small subunit ribosomal RNA", at positions 355 to 776 of the family's 1533-position model. Lineage: Bacteria; Bacillati; Actinomycetota; Actinomycetes. The record is from RNAcentral.